This 158-nucleotide ribosomal RNA is filed under the name Diploastrea heliopora. RNAcentral describes it as "5.8S ribosomal RNA". It matches the Rfam family "5.8S ribosomal RNA". From Rfam's summary of the family: 5.8S ribosomal RNA (5.8S rRNA) is a component of the large subunit of the eukaryotic ribosome. Lineage: Eukaryota; Metazoa; Cnidaria; Anthozoa; Scleractinia; Diploastraeidae. The record is from RNAcentral.
CAACUUUUGACGGUGGAUCUCUUGGCUCACGCAUCGAUGAAGAACGCAGCCAGCUGCGAUAAGUAGUGUGAAUUGCAGAAUUCAGUGAAUCAUCGAAUCUUUGAACUCAAAUGGCGCUCUUGGGUUCUCCCAGGAGCAUGUCUGUCUGAGUGUCGGAU